UAGACCUAAUAAUACAUGGACAGGCCUUCACGUGGUUUUCCCGUUCACCGCAUCGAGGAAUACCCACGAGAGAGAGGGGGGUGGUAGAAAAGAGAGAUAACAGCAGUCCCUGGUAGUAAACGUCAAGCUGGUAGCUGGUAGAGAAUAAUUCAACGUUGCCGCUUCAAACAAGUUAUCGAGUAAACUCGGGAAUUCUACCAGUCCGCUGAUCCUCCAUGUUGCAUUUUUGGGUGGUUGUCGGUUCUCCAUCAGGUGGUUUAGUUGCUCUUCUCUGGCACUCCUGGCAGUAAUAUUUUACUGCUCCUGUUUCUUUAUUGUGUGGCUUUCCAGUGUUAGAUUUCUGUGACACUGAUCAACAGAAAAUAUCGAGUUUUGAGUUUGCCGAUGUCACAGGGCUUACUGAAUAUCAACAUGAUUUACAUCUCUUCUCUUUCUAAUAUUGAAUCCAGAUUGGGAUUAAGUAUUUUCUUCGGACAUGCCUUGAAAUAGAAUGUGAUGGUACAUAUGUAACUACUUCGUUUAGAACAACAUUCUUUAUAAUAUUCAAAAAUAUAUCUACUAUCUCGAAAUUCAAGUCACCUCUACAAAUUCUUGCUGUGGCCUUGUGAAAUAUAGAAAACAGACUAGGUAUAUUCCUUGUAAAUCUUUGUAAAUCAUGUCCUAUAUGUACAUACAUGAAAUAACAAAGAAACUCCUUUA
Long non-coding RNA from Coccinella septempunctata (seven-spotted ladybird), 699 nucleotides. RefSeq lists it as uncharacterized. The record is from RefSeq and is a predicted model, not a curated record. NCBI's taxonomy places the organism in Eukaryota, Metazoa, Arthropoda, Insecta, Coleoptera, Coccinellidae. The transcript is spliced from 2 exons.